AUCAAGUCGCGGUCACUGGGAAGUGGAAGAUUAGAAAACGGGAGCAUGAGGAGAGCCCCUGCACUGGCGCGUACAACGGCUAGUGGCGACAGACGACAAGGAUUUUGGGGACGAAGCUCCAGAGAAUGUUCGGUCGGUUAGGUGGGUAGUGAGACUUCUUGUCUCUCAGAAACCCAGGCACCAGAAAAAUACUUUCAAAGCCUGUAUUUGUUUCUGUCCAAAGGAAUUAUAGGAAUUGAGUCAAUCCCUAAUUUACAGCUAUCAACAACUCUAUGCAAAAAAGCGUCCUAUGCUUUCUCUUUCCUUAUGGGCUUGCAUGCUCCCCGUUCUCCUCAAGAUCUUCUUGCUUCGUUGCUUGCUGGUGUGGCCUGGGUCUCUCACCCUAGAUUGUAGUUUUGUGUUUUCUUUUGUACAUCUA
Molecule: unclassified non-coding RNA, 418 nt
Filed under: Hevea brasiliensis (rubber tree)
Lineage: Eukaryota; Viridiplantae; Streptophyta; Magnoliopsida; Malpighiales; Euphorbiaceae
Source: RNAcentral